RNAcentral lists this ribosomal RNA (434 nucleotides) under uncultured eukaryote. RNAcentral describes it as "bacterial SSU rRNA". It matches the Rfam family "Eukaryotic small subunit ribosomal RNA", at positions 592 to 1018 of the family's 1831-position model. The record is from RNAcentral.
CAGUAGCGUAUAUUAAAGUUGUUGCAGUUAAAAAGCUCGUAGUUGGAUUUCUGAACGACCGCACUGGCCCGCCUUCGAUAAGAGGGUGUGUUGCCGGUAUGAGUUGUUCAUCCUUUCAGAGAGCCGACGCCUACCAUUCACUUGGUCGGGCUCGUGCGAUCUGGAUCUUUUACUUUGAAAAAUUAGAGUGUUUAAAGCAGGCUUACGCUAUGAAUACAUUAGCAUGGAAUAAUAAGAUAAGACUUUGGCGGUCUAUUUUGUUGGUUUGCACGCCAUUGUAAUGAUUGAUAGGGACAGUUGGGGGUAUUCAUAUUUAAUUGUCAGAGGUGAAAUUCUUGGAUUUAUGAAAGAUGAACUACUGCGAAAGCAUUUACCAAGGAUGUUUUCAUUAAUCAAGAACGAAAGUUAGGGGAUCGAAGACGAUCAGAUACCAU